Small nucleolar RNA from Acomys russatus (golden spiny mouse), 132 nucleotides. RefSeq annotates it as small nucleolar RNA SNORA40. NCBI's taxonomy places the organism in Eukaryota, Metazoa, Chordata, Mammalia, Rodentia, Muridae. The record is from RefSeq and is a predicted model, not a curated record. The transcript has a single exon.
AGCACUAGUGUGUGUUUGGUUUUUGUCAGCUGGUAGACAAAGGCAGGUAGGGCAGGUGCAAAAACAAAGCCUCUUCCUCAACCGAGAACUUGUUGUUCAGUAUGGGUUUUGGUACAUCCAAGAAGGAAUAUG